UCGCAAAUACACAUGGGAGAGCUCAGUGAUAAUAACUCAAAAAGGCGGUUAGAACUUGGGCUUAUUAGCACCCUAAUGAGAGAGCAAUGUAUUUGUAGAGAAGUGGAAAGACAAAGGAAGGGGACCUUGAGCUUCUGUGGAUAACAAGUUGUGGGAAGGUAGAUAUAUGGCAGAAGCUGACAGAUAAGGUUGAUUUGGCGUGCUUGUGAUGUUGAUUUUUCUGGUGCCACCUCUGGGCUGGUAAGAGCCAUCCUGCCCUUCUGGUAGAUGGGGACAGGGCAGAGAGUUUGUCCUGUGUCUACUUGGUCUCAGUUGUCUUCAGCUCAAAAUAAUCUUUAUGUCAGAGUGGCAUAUUUUGGGAUGGUAUACUCUAAGCCCCUUCAGCUGUGAAUUCAAAACAACUCUAAAAAGUCAAUUAAAAAUUAUAUUCCUAUAACAUGGCCCUUGCUGGUGGGGCUCAGGACACACCACCCCAAAAUAUGACAAUACAAAACCAGAUAUGUGAACACAAAAUAUACUUCUUAGGCAAAUUUUGAUCUUGUUAUUCUAAGAAAUUGCAGACACAGGAGUAGCUCUGAAAAGCUGCCCUUUUGUAAAAGAAAUUUAUAACUAUAAAAAAAAUCUACAUUAGUGAAUUAUCUGUAUCAGGAAGAGGGCUGGUUCCAGACAACUUCUAUAACCCCAGAGACUUUUCUCUGCAGAACAAGACACCUUUUAUUCACCAGACAUUGCCUCCCCUCACCCUCCCAGAACUUGUGCCCAUCCUCAGCAAGCCCCAAGCCCCUGUUCCUUUCUGUAACUCAGGACACUAUCUAAGCUUCAUUCAUCUGGCCCUUCUCCUCAUCCAUAUUUUGUGGGACUCCUGUGCAUAUAGACGUAAUUAAAGUUUUUUAUUCUCCUAUUAGCCCGUCUUAUGUCAAUUUAAUUCCUAGCCCAGCCAAAGAACCUAGAAGGGGAAGCCAUUUUUCCCUCCACUACCUGCUUUUCAAGAUCACAGUUUAUUGGAACCACUUCAGAGUUAACCCCCUGUAAAUACUUGUCAGUCCUCAUCUUUUCAAUGUUUUCACCUGACAUUCACUCUUUAUUUCACUCUUAGGUCUCCCAGCAGGUUGCUCAAGAAACUCUCCCUUGCUGUGGACACUGCUGACUUCUGUAAAAUACAUUUACAGGAGGCCAUUAGUUUGGACUGAGCUUCUGCACUAGGCCCAACAGACUGAGACGGAGCAUGGACCCCUAUUAGAGGCCUGCUGGGCCUCCUCCAGCAUGGAAACAAAGGAAAAUCUUGAUUUCCUUCAAGGGAAAUUCCAGGUACCUAGCUGGCCUUGAGAAGUAAAUGAGCCACCUGAUAAGCAAGAAGGGAAUAAUAGCUUCAAGUAACAGCCACUCAAUUCCAUGAUGGAAAAUCUAAUGGCCACUUUCCAUUUACCACGUCAAAGGAACAGUCCAGGCUUCCCUUCAUUUCCACAAUGACCCCAACUGUUUUGCCACUCGCUCCUUGAAGAACAUCUGGAUUUGUUUCUGGCUUUUGGCUAUGAGGAAUAAGCCUGCUGAGAACAUUCAGCUCUAGGAUUUUGUGUGAAUGGACUGAAUUUACAGCUUACCAAGCCAGGCCAUUGCACUUUUGGACAACUCUACUAAAUGGAUUUUCCUCAUGCCAUCGCAUAACUGCUACCUGCCACCAGAGCCUUAGAAAUACAUGGCUUUCCAUCAAGCACUCAUGGAACAUGUCACUGUGGGCACUUCUAGGGGGGAUUCAUGAUGGAUCCUCCAAGAUCAACUAAAUAUAAAACAAACUCCCAGGUAACAGAACCAUUUCAGCUAUUAAAUAAAAUCAUCUG
This 1838-nucleotide long non-coding RNA is filed under the name Homo sapiens (human). RNAcentral describes it as "HSALNT0238717". Lineage: Eukaryota; Metazoa; Chordata; Mammalia; Primates; Hominidae. The record is from RNAcentral.